This is a long non-coding RNA of Sitodiplosis mosellana (orange wheat blossom midge), 335 nucleotides long. RefSeq lists it as uncharacterized. The record is from RefSeq and is a predicted model, not a curated record. NCBI's taxonomy places the organism in Eukaryota, Metazoa, Arthropoda, Insecta, Diptera, Cecidomyiidae. The transcript is spliced from 4 exons.
GUUAUUUGGUGUGAUUGCGUUCAUCUGUUCAUUUUAUUUGAAUGUGCGACAAUUUGUUGUGCCUUUCGUGCAUAUUGGAACAGUAUUAGUGGUCACGAUGAUAGUUUAAAAUACAUCUAUAUCUUCGUCAAAAGUGUUCUCUCUGUGACUGGCAUUUUAAUACUCACCCUGGGUCUCCAUAAUCUAACCGAUAUUUAUGACAAUCAAGAUGCCGCUGAUGAAUCACCGUGGUUUGUUUCUGUUUUUCUGGUCAUAUUUGGAUUAAUCAUACUUCUAGUAACUUUUGUCGAUUUUUGUGCUGUUAUCACGGAGAAUUUGAACGCUAUGAUUUUCGU